UGGGGAAUAUUGGACAAUGGGCGAAAGCCUGAUCCAGCCAUGCCGCGUGUGUGAAGAAGGUCUUCGGAUUGUAAAGCACUUUAAGUUGGGAGGAAGGGCAGUAAGCUAAUACCUUGCUGUUUUGACGUUACCGACAGAAUAAGCACCGGCUAACUUCGUGCCAGCAGCCGCGGUAAUACGAAGGGUGCAAGCGUUAAUCGGAAUUACUGGGCGUAAAGCGCGCGUAGGUGGUUCGUUAAGUUGGAUGUGAAAGCCCCGGGCUCAACCUGGGAACUGCAUCCAAAACUGGCGAGCUAGAGUAUGGCAGAGGGUGGUGGAAUUUCCUGUGUAGCGGUGAAAUGCGUAGAUAUAGGAAGGAACACCAGUGGCGAAGGCGACCACCUGGGCUAAUACUGACACUGAGGUGCGAAAGCGUGGGGAGCAAACAGG
This 429-nucleotide ribosomal RNA is filed under the name uncultured Pseudomonas sp. RNAcentral describes it as "bacterial SSU rRNA". It matches the Rfam family "Bacterial small subunit ribosomal RNA", at positions 355 to 776 of the family's 1533-position model. Lineage: Bacteria; Pseudomonadati; Pseudomonadota; Gammaproteobacteria; Pseudomonadales; Pseudomonadaceae. The record is from RNAcentral.